Molecule: non-coding RNA, 25 nt
Filed under: Drosophila melanogaster (fruit fly)
Lineage: Eukaryota; Metazoa; Arthropoda; Insecta; Diptera; Drosophilidae
Source: RNAcentral
CUGUACUGUAGAAGCACCGUUGACA